Molecule: long non-coding RNA, 3404 nt
Organism: Cephus cinctus (wheat stem sawfly)
Lineage: Eukaryota; Metazoa; Arthropoda; Insecta; Hymenoptera; Cephidae
Exons: 4
Source: RefSeq, a predicted model, not a curated record
UAUAUAUAACGUUAAGUCACUGUUUUCCAAAGAGGAUUGUAUUAUAAUACAUAAUUAUAUACGGAAUAAUUUAUACACGGAAAUGUCGCCGGUGCAUUAUUCUAACCUUAGAUACAUUACAGAGUGGAGUGCAUUGUCAAUAAUAAGUUUGUAAAGUCCAGAGGCCCUUGGUCUAUUCGUAAUUGGUCUCUGGUGAGAACCAAUCUGUUUGCAAUGUCGCCUAGUAUGGAAAUAUCUGAGUACCAACGGCACCCACUUGUGAUUAUUACAAGUUGCCUAUCUAUCGGCACUUUUCUUUGAUGUUCGUUUCUUUAUUUCUCUUCAACACUUUACACCAAGUCAACCAUAACAUUUUUGUCAUACAAAAAAUGCGACAAUUAUAUUUUUUUUUAAAUUUCAACGUACCCAAUAGAUUGUGUUCAACCCAAGUGGCUUGAAUUCGCGAAGCGAUUAGUAUUAGACUAAGAAUAGUAGCCAGUAACUAUAUAUAUACAUAUAUAUAUACAUACGACACAAAAUACGCUGCCUCUGUGCUCCGUGCAUAAAAUGCAACCUAGACAAACUAUUUAUGUCGCAGAACUAAAUGACUUUUGACAACUCGCGUAACUAUCGUACGAGUGUUUGUGAAUUCACAAGGAGAAAAACAGUGCAGAAUGAACCUUUGAUAACGGUAGAUAAAUUCAAUCCUGUUAUACGUAAGAAAUUAUUGAAUAUGUCAUAGGCGUGCAUCGCGUCUUUAGUCUGACCGAAUUAGAGUAUCUACACAGCUAAUAGCGUCUUCCUGAUGGUGUAGCUGACGCGGCACUGAGACUGACGUUAUGAUGCCGGAAGGGUCAUCAACAUCCAUAAUACAGCUUUAGGCCUCAAUACCUACGUGUGUAAAAAAACGGACGUUGGUUCUUUCAUUGAAAGUGAUUAGGAAGUGAGAUGUAGAGUGUUACUGUAUAGUUAGAGUAGAGACAAUUUUUCUAUUGAAUGUGAUUAGGACGUCCCCCCUAGUUGUACUAUGAUAUACUACUAUUUGCCGACUGGAUACAUUGCGAAUUCUUUCAACGCUCUAUGCUGCGGUUUGUAUUUCUUUUUAUUAAGUAUAUUACUUGUUGUCCGUAAUGAUGGUUUUGUGAAUCCGCACGAUGUUAAUAUUAUAGAUCAGAUUAAUCGAACAUUUCAGGCUCGUAAGACUAUUGAUAUAGGUUAGGUUUAGGUUAUGCACGAAACUUGACAGCUGUGCGCGUAUGGUUGCGAGGGAUCAUUUGUUGAAUACGAAUGUGCAGGUGGUAGAAAUUCGAAAGGUUAUUCUGUUAUAUGACGUAUGUUACGUAGCUUAUUGAUUACAUAGGUAACUCAAUAUAUUUUUUUAUGAUGACCACUGAUAUUUAUGAUAACAAACCUAUAAUUAGUAUUUAAUUAAUUCUAGAUUGCUCUUGCACUGAUUGUGUAAGAUAUUUAAACUGUCUUAAAUGGUACGUAUAAAUCAUUUGUUAUGACACUGAAAUAUCAAACUUGAAAUAGGCGGAGGAGGUCAGGCGCAUUAACAGACGGUUAAUACGUAAUCAGUAUUCAAUUCGAUUUAAUUAAUUUAUUAAUUUCUUUUUUUUUUAGUGGCACAAGGCUUCAGCCGAUUCAGCCUUGUGCCGUCGAAAUUGAUUUCUUGAUCUAAGAGUUUCUGGGUGGCGUUUAGAUUGACAUUGAUUUCCAUCAUAAAGGAUGAUCUGGACAUGAUGAUACAGACAGGAGGACGUGUCAUAAUACACAACAUGCUGUUCAUAUAACAUCCUGCAUCCCGGGACACUCCUAUCACUCACCAGCCUAAUAAGCAUUCAUCGGAUUCAUGAUUCUUAUCCGUGAUCUCAGGAGAGUUUGGAUUUUUCCGAGGGACACUAUCAAUUAGUACUGUACGAUUAAAUCAGGAUUAAAUCAGUACAGCUCAAAGAAAAGCAAUUCCUUCUACGUACGCCACAAGUAGUAGCGACAAGACGAUCAGAGUUCCUGAAAAGGAAAUAAUAAAAUGUUGGACAGUUGAAUCCUACUAAGAGCUGUGACUGCCUGCAGUGUCUGAAACCUGUGAUCCAACGAGCAGAUCUAUUAGAGAUUGGCCCAGUUAUUGAUCGGAUUCUUCAUUAAAAAUUUGAUUGGUCAUUCAAUUGAAUUUUUUUUUUAAUCCACAACUCACAGGAACUCAUGUAGAAUUUGAUGUAGAUGGAGCUUGAAGAACCCUAUAUGUCUUCUGUUCUAUAGGAUUUAUGUUGGUUGUCAUUGUUGACACGUUUACAUGGGAAUAGGAUUGAACGACCCUCCCAAAGAAAGGACUUCUUUCCGCGAAUUAAUCGAUAUCUCCUUUAACAAUGAAACGUGCGGUAACGGAUUCUAUUGAUUUGUAAGAGGAGUCGAUACCAAGGUGAACAACAAUCUCAUAUUCUUUUUCGAAUGUCUUUUUUUUUAAUUCUUUCAUAUAUCGUUCACGCUACCCACUUACUCUUGUCAUUUUUUACCGUUUUAUAGAAAUUGCAGCGUAUUAAAUACAUGUUAGGGUUGGUCGUGGUAACACGUCCAUGACGUAACCGUAUCGGAUUCACGAUAAACGAAUUUAAUGCUGCGAGAAACUUUUUUUGUUCGACCUUAUAUUUAACAACUGUCAGACAAUUUGAGGUUUGAAUGUGCACGAGUAUUCUUGUUUGGGGACCAAAUUUUUUUAUACGUUUUCUGGCGCAGUUAACAUUUGCAUACUUGAAAGACAGAGAGUUAAGGGUGCCAUUUUCAUGGACAAUGAUUAUGUAGAAUGGAGUAGGUGUGUCUUAUUGUUUUUUUUUAUUAUCCUCCCGCGACUUAUAAAAGGGCACGUAAAUUCUUGCAGAAAUGUCAAAAAGUGACCUUAAAUUGACGCCUUUGUUUCUGCGUCGUGACACCUUGACUCGUUACUUUGACAUCCUUUUGUUGCAUCGAUUGAGUCAUUAAGAUCAAUAUCUUUCACCGUUGCGAUAUUCAGGUGGGAAAUUACAUAGUUUUUGCUAAUGUCUCAAAGGUAUGACUUUCGUAAUGGAAGCCUUCCUUCCAAUUGUCCUUGACGAUACUAACUGCACAAUUGAACAGAGGAUCAUAAAGUAUUGAUCUAUGCAUAUCAUCUAUAUGCAUAUUCAUUUUAGUUGAUGUAACAAGUAUGUUACAAUUUUGAAAAAUCGUACUAAGAAUUGCAUCUGUUAGUAGUACGUUAUAAAUAAUGAAAUUACAAUUUGUAUCUGAUUAGCCUGAAUUGUAUCUAUUUAUUCUAUCUAUAUCUAAUUUUAAUGUCUUAUCGAUAAGAUUAAAUUGUCGUUAUGUUAAAAUAGACGUUUGCUGAUAGACUGGAUUGCUACCUCACUUACAGUAUCUAGAGUAUAAUAAAACACUUUAUAUUUAUAGCCUGA